This 151-nucleotide ribosomal RNA is filed under the name Reichenbachia hirsuta. RNAcentral's name for it is "5.8S ribosomal RNA". It matches the Rfam family "5.8S ribosomal RNA". From Rfam's summary of the family: 5.8S ribosomal RNA (5.8S rRNA) is a component of the large subunit of the eukaryotic ribosome. It is transcribed by RNA polymerase I as part of the 45S precursor that also contains 18S and 28S rRNA. Lineage: Eukaryota; Viridiplantae; Streptophyta; Magnoliopsida; Caryophyllales; Nyctaginaceae. The record is from RNAcentral.
UCGGCAACGGAUAUCUCGGCUCUCGCAUCGAUGAAGAACGUAGCGAAAUGCGAUACCUGGUGUGAAUUGCAGAAUCCGUGAACCAUCGAGUCUUUGAACGCAAGUUGCGCCCGAAGCCAUUAGGCUGAGGGCACGUCUGCCUGGGCGUCAC